This 274-nucleotide ribosomal RNA is filed under the name uncultured bacterium. RNAcentral describes it as "partial 16S ribosomal RNA". It matches the Rfam family "Archaeal small subunit ribosomal RNA", at positions 473 to 747 of the family's 1478-position model. The record is from RNAcentral.
AAACCAGCACCUCAAGUGGUCAGGAGGUUUAUUGGGCCUAAAGCAUCCGUAGCCUGAUCUAUAAGUUUCCGGUUAAAUCCACAUGCUCAACAUUUGGGCUGCCGGAAAAACUGUAGAUCUAGGGAGUGGGAGAGGUAGACGGUACUCGGUAGGAAGGGGUAAAAUCCUUUGAUCUAUUGAUGACCACCAGUGGCGAAGGCGGUCUACCAGAACACGUUCGACGGUGAGGGAUGAAAGCUGGGGGAGCAAACCGGAUUAGAAACCCGGGUAGUCC